UUGAAAGCACUGGAAACUGAAGUCCUGUUUUUGUCCAUUAAACAGGUACAGCUUGAGCAGCAGCAGUGCAAGUUUCGCCACACUGCUCCACCAAUGUGCUGCAAACCCUGACCUGGAGGGACACCUCUAGGAAGGGGUCUGAAGCUUCUUCAGUCUCCGUGCUCAUUCAAUCGUUACU
Molecule: small RNA, 178 nt
Filed under: Crocodylus porosus (Australian saltwater crocodile)
Lineage: Eukaryota; Metazoa; Chordata; Crocodylia; Crocodylidae
Description: TUC338 (ENSCPRG00005005843.1)
Source: RNAcentral